GGAGGAAAAGGAAUAGCAGAGCCAGCUGGGGGUUCUGGAAUGGCUUCCCUAAGGAACUGACACUGGCACUGAGAUGAUAAGCAGUUACCCAGGCAAAGACAUCCCAGUGGGAAAUGUGCCCAGCAGUGGGAUUGGUAUGUGCCAUGGGCGAACGUGGUGCUAAAGACACUGUGCAGAGGGACAUACUCACGUUUUGGGAAGACAACACUGGCUGCUCUAUGGGAACAGACCACGGAAGAAAUAGAGAGUAGCAGCGGGAGACAAUUCAGCAGCUGCUACAGCCUCCCAGAAUGUGAGGAAACAGGCUCCAGGUUCAUCACAUGGUGGUCCCAAGGCCGACUUGUGCAAGCCAGGAUGACAGGAGGACGGCGUGGGAGCACUGCUCAAUCCCGUAGCCCUUCCCUGUGGCUGAAGAUGAUCCACCUUCGCCCUGUCUCCUGAGGUCUCCGUGUUUCUGCCCUUCACGGCCCAAAUAAAGCAGCUUUUGCCUCUCUCUGGCCCUCUCCACUUUGCAGGGUGAUGAUCUCAGUUCCUUCCAUUCGCAUACACUGUUAGACUGAACCCAAAGGCUGGGAGGGCAUCUGCUGCCACCCCUGACCCUUCCACUGCCCCCAUCUCCCCCGUGAACCCCCCAGUGGGAUAGCCUAGAUGACCCAGACCUGGCUCCUGCUCUCUAGACUCUCGCUGUGCCAUAGAAAGAGAAAGGCAGAGACAUACACUAGCUCAGUAAAGUGCCACAGGAGAGUGAUAUUGUUUGGGGCACAGUGAGUCCUCUGGUGAGUGAGGAAAGCCUUCAGGAAGGGUCUUGAGCUGAAUCUGGACAAGUGGGCAGGCACUGGGUAGGCAUAAGUAGCGCUCCAGGCAGAUUUGGCAGCACAGAGAAAGGUUUGGUCAUUUGCAGGCUGAACUCCUCAUCCCACUGAGGGAACUGUGAGACUGGCGGCCAAAUGGGCU
This 954-nucleotide long non-coding RNA is filed under the name Equus asinus (donkey). RNAcentral's name for it is "lncRNA (ENSEASG00005036872.1)". Lineage: Eukaryota; Metazoa; Chordata; Mammalia; Perissodactyla; Equidae. The record is from RNAcentral.